UUUGAUGAUUCAUAAUAACUAGCUUAUCGAAUCGCUGGGUUGUACCCGCGAUAAAUCAAUCAAGUUUCUGCCCCAUCAGCUUGAUGGUAGUGUAUUGGACUACCAUGGCUUUUACGGGUAACGGGGGAUUAGGGUUCGACACCGGAGAGGGAGCCUGAGAAACGGCUACCACUUCUACGGAAGGCAGCAGGCGCGUAAAUUACCCAAUCCUAAUUCAGGGAGGUAGUGACAAGAAAUAAUAGACCGGCGUAAGCCGGGUUUACAAUGAGCCUAAUUUACACAGCUUAGUGAGGAUCCAUUGGAGGGCAAGUCUGGUGCCAGCAGCCGCGGUAAUUCCAGCUCCAAUAGCAUAUAUUAAAAUUGCUGCAGUUAAAAAGCUCGUAGUUGGAUUUCUGUGAGACUUGUUUUGUUCGGCCUGCGGGUCGGGCGAAUCACUUUUCACAUCCUUCUGUUAACCUUACACUCCUUCACCGGUGUGUCUGUGGGCUCAGAUACUUUACCUUGAGUAAA
Molecule: ribosomal RNA, 510 nt
Filed under: uncultured eukaryote
Lineage: Eukaryota
Description: SSU rRNA
Rfam family: Eukaryotic small subunit ribosomal RNA
Source: RNAcentral